GACGAACGCUGGCGGCGUGCUUAACACAUGCAAGUCGAACGGAAAGGCCCUGCUUUUGUGGGGUGCUCGAGUGGCGAACGGGUGAGUAACACGUGAGUAACCUGCCCUUGACUUUGGGAUAACUUCAGGAAACUGGGGCUAAUACCGGAUAGGAGCUCCUGCUGCAUGGUGGGGGUUGGAAAGUUUCGGCGGUUGGGGAUGGACUCGCGGCUUAGCAGCUUGUUGGUGGGGUAGUGGCUUACCAAGGCUUUGACGGGUAGCCGGCCUGAGAGGGUGACCGGACACAUUGGGACUGGGAUACGGCCCAGACUCCUACGGGAGGAAGCAGUGGAGAAUAUUCCACAAUGGGCGGAAGCCUGAUGCAGCAACGCCGCGUGCGGGAUGACGGCCUUCGGGUUGUAAACCGCUUUCGAAUGUGACGAAGCGUGAGUGACGGUAAUGGGUAAAGAAGCACCGGCUAACUACGUG
Molecule: ribosomal RNA, 468 nt
Filed under: uncultured bacterium
Lineage: Bacteria
Description: partial 16S ribosomal RNA
Rfam family: Bacterial small subunit ribosomal RNA
Source: RNAcentral